AGUGCAGUGGCACAAUCUCGGCUCACUGCAACCUCUGCCUUCUUGGUUCAAGCGAUUCUCCUGCCUCGGCCUCCCGAGUAGCUGGGAUUACAGGCACCCACCACCACACCUGUCUAAUUUUUGUAUCUUUAGUAGAGACGGGGGUUUCACCAUGUUGGCCAGGCUGGUCUCGAACUCCUGACCUUGUGAUCCGCCCGCCUCGGCCUCCCAAAGUGCUGGAAUUACAGGCGUGAGCCACUGCGCCCGGCCACUUACAGACUUUUCUGAUGAGAUUGUGCAGGGUGACCUCGGAGGUCUGGCUUCCUGAUUCAGAACAUUUACCCCAGAGAGUAAUCAGGAAGAUGAAACGAGCUAAUGGACCCAAAGCACGAAGCUCCAUGCCAACAUGAGAUGUUUUGAUUAAGUAACUAAUAAAAAUAACAAAUGAAAUCCUGUCGCAUUAAGAGUUGGCCCUAGUAUGUUUACAGUAGGUGUUCCAUAAAUGUGGCUUCCUUCUUCUGCAUUCUCAGCAUCU
This 514-nucleotide long non-coding RNA is filed under the name Pan troglodytes (chimpanzee). RNAcentral's name for it is "long non-coding RNA NONPTRT005446". The record is from RNAcentral. Lineage: Eukaryota; Metazoa; Chordata; Mammalia; Primates; Hominidae.